GCGACCGGGUGAGUAACACGUGACUAACCUACCCUACAGUGGGGGAUAACUCCGGGAAACCGGGGCUAAUACCGCAUAACAUCGUAAGAUCAAAGGAGCAAUUCGCUGAAGGAGGGGGUCGCGGCUGAUUAGUUAGUUGGUGAGGUAACGGCUCACCAAGACGAAGAUCAGUAGCCGGCCUGAGAGGGCGCACGGCCACACUGGAACUGAAACACGGUCCAGACUCCUACGGGAGGCAGCAGUGGGGAAUUUUGCGCAAUGGGGGAAACCCUAACGCAGCAACGCCGCGUGGAGGAUGAAGUCCCUUGGGAUGUAAACUCCUUUCGAUCGGGACGAUUAUGACGGUACCGGAAGAAGAAGCACCGGCUAACUCUGUGCCAGCAGCCGCGGUAAUACAGAGGGUGCAAGCGUUGUUCGGAAUUAUUGGGCGUAAAGGGUGCGUAGGCGGUGCGGUAAGUCUGUAGUGAAAUCUCUGGGCUCAACUCAGAGUCUGCUAUAGAAACUGCCGUGCUUGAGUGUGGGAGAGGUGAGUGGAAUUCCCGGGUGUAGCGGUGAAAUG
Molecule: ribosomal RNA, 559 nt
Filed under: uncultured bacterium
Lineage: Bacteria
Description: bacterial SSU rRNA
Rfam family: Bacterial small subunit ribosomal RNA
Source: RNAcentral